AAUUGUGGGUGUUGUGGGUGUUGUGGGAUGUGGGUGUUGAUCUUAGUUUAUGGUGAUUUUGGUGGUGUUUUGAGUGUAUUCAGUGGUGUUUUAGUAUUCAGUGGUGUAUUUGGGAGUACUCAAAUGGUGUUUUUGGAAGUGUUUCAGUGUUGUUUGGAAAUGUUCAAAGGUGUUCAAAGGUGUUUUGAGUGUGUUCAAAUGUUGUUUUUUUGAAGGUGAUCAAGGGUGUUCAAGGGUGUUUUGAAGGUGUUCGAAGGUGUUUUGAGGUUAUUCAAAGGUGUUUUGAGUGUGUUCAAAUGAUUAUGAGAGUGUUUUGAAUGUGUUCAAAGGUGUUUUGAAGGUGUUCAAAGGUGUUUUGAAGGUGUUGAAGGGUGUUUUGAGUGUGUUCAAGGGUGUUUGAAGGUGUUGAAGGGUGUUUUGAUUGAAUUCAGCGGUGUUUUAGUAGUAAUCAGUGGUGUAAUUGGGAGUACUCAAAUGGUGUUUUUGGAAGUGUUUCAGUGUUGAUUGGAAAUGUUCAAAGGUGUUUUUGAAAAGUGUUCAAGAGUGUUUUGAAGGUGUUCAAGGGUGUUUGAAGGUGUUGAAGGGUGUUUUGAUUGAAUUCAGCGGUGUUUUAGUAGUAAUCAGUGGUGUAAUUGGGAGUACUCAAAUAGUGUUUUGGAAAUGUUCAUGGGUGUUGUGGGAUGUGGGUGUUGUGGGUGUUGUUGUCGAACUAGAGAUACCGAAAAAAAAAAUGUUAUAAGUGGGUUGUUGUUGGGACUUUUUCUGAUGUAGUGUGUCCCCUUAUUAACUUUAAUGAACUAAAAGGGUUAAAACGAGAAAAAAAUGGGGGGUGUGGGUGUUGUGACUUUCUGAUGUACUGUGUCCCCUUAUUAACUUUAAUGAACUAAAAGGGUUAAAACGAGAAAAAAAUUGUGGGUGUUGUGGGUUGUGGGUGUUGUGGGAUGUGGGUGUUGAUCUUAGUUUAUGGUGAUUUUGGUGGUGUUUUGAGUGUAUUCAGUGGUGUUUUAGUAUUCAGUGGUGUAUUUGGGAGUACUCAAAUGGUGUUUUUGGAAGUGUUUCAGUGUUGUUUGGAAAUGUUCAAAGGUGUUCAAAGGUGUUUUGAGUGUGUUCAAAUGUUGUUUUUUUGAAGGUGAUCAAGGGUGUUCAAGGGUGUUUUGAAGGUGUUCAAAGGUGUUUUGAGGUUAUUCAAAGGUGUUUUGAAGGUGUUCAAGGGUGUUUAUGUGAGUAUUCAAAGGUGUUUUUUGAAGGUGUACAAAUGAUUAUGAGAGUACUUAUGAAGGUGUUCAAAUGAUGUGCAAGAGUACUUAUGAAGGUGUUCUGGGAGUAUUCAGAGGUGAUUUGGGGGUGUUCGAAUGAUGUUUUGGAGUAUUUCAGUGUUGUUUGGAAAUGUAUAAAGGUAUUUUUUGGUGAGUUUUCAAAUGAUUUAUGAGUGUUUUGAAAGAUGUUCAAAGUAAAAAGUGCGUAUUUAACUUCGUAAUAUGUAAAAUUGUGAGUAGUGAAUUUAACGAAAGUGGAUGUAAGCGAUGUGGUGACUUUCUGAUGCACUGUGUCCCCUUAUUAAUUUUAAUGAACUAAAAGGGUUAAAACGAGAAAAAUUGGGGUUUAUGAGUGAAAAUUGUGAGGUGUUGGUUGGAGUGUGAGGGUUUGGGAGGGUGGGGAGGAGGUUACUUCGUGGGGGGAGUGACCUGAGAUGAAAUAGUUAAAAAAUGUCUAGACUUGUGUUGUAAAGAAAUUGUGAGUAUUAACGAAAAAAUGUGCCUUUCUGAUGUACUGUGUCCCCUUAUUAACUAAAAGG
Cherax quadricarinatus is the source of this 1795-nucleotide non-coding RNA. The record is from RefSeq and is a predicted model, not a curated record. Lineage: Eukaryota; Metazoa; Arthropoda; Malacostraca; Decapoda; Parastacidae.